CCUACGGGAGGCAGCAGUGAGGAAUAUUGGUCAAUGGACGAGAGUCUGAACCAGCCAAGUAGCGUGAAGGAUGACUGCCCUAUGGGUUGUAAACUUCUUUUAUAAAGGAAUAAAACGAGGCACGUGUGCCUUGUUGCAUGUACUUUAUGAAUAAGGAUCGGCUAACUCCGUGCCAGCAGCCGCGGUAAUACGGAGGAUCCGAUCGUUAUCCGGAUUUAUUGGGGUUAACGGGAGCGUAGAUGGGUUGUUAAGGCAGUUGUUAAAUUUUGCGGCUCCACCGUAAAAUUGCCAUUGAUACUGGCAUUCUUGAGUACAGUUGAGGUAGGCUGAAUUCGUGGUGUAGCGG
Molecule: ribosomal RNA, 346 nt
Filed under: uncultured bacterium
Lineage: Bacteria
Description: partial 16S ribosomal RNA
Rfam family: Bacterial small subunit ribosomal RNA
Source: RNAcentral